Molecule: ribosomal RNA, 253 nt
Filed under: uncultured bacterium
Lineage: Bacteria
Description: partial 16S ribosomal RNA
Rfam family: Bacterial small subunit ribosomal RNA
Source: RNAcentral
UACAGAGGUCUCAAGCGUUGUUCGGAUUCAUUGGGCGUAAAGGGUGCGCAGGCGGCGCGGUAAGUCGGGUGUGAAAUCUCGGAGCUUAACUCCGAAACUGCAUUCGAUACUGCCGUGCUUGAGGACUGGAGAGGAGACUGAAAUUUACGGUGUAGCGGUGAAAUGCGUAGAUAUCGUAAGGAAGACCAGUGGCGAAGGCGGGUCUCUGGACAGUUCCUGACGCUGAGGCACGAAGGUCAGGGGAGCAAACGGG